RNAcentral lists this ribosomal RNA (916 nucleotides) under uncultured bacterium. Its description in RNAcentral is "bacterial SSU rRNA". It matches the Rfam family "Bacterial small subunit ribosomal RNA", at positions 1 to 921 of the family's 1533-position model. The record is from RNAcentral.
UAGAGUUUGAUCCUGGCUCAGGAUGAACGCUAGCGGCAGGCUUAAUACAUGCAAGUCGUGGGGCAGCAUGAGUAGCAAUACUUGAUGGCGACCGGCAAACGGGUGCGGAACACGUACACAACCUUCCGAUAAGUGGGGAAUAGCCCAGAGAAAUUUGGAUUAAUACCCCGUAACAUAUAGAGUAGGCAUCUUCUUUAUAUUAUAGCUUCGGCGCUUAUUGAUGGGUGUGCGUCUGAUUAGGUAGUUGGCGGGGUAACGGCCCACCAAGCCUACGAUCAGUAGCUGAUGUGAGAGCAUGAUCAGCCACACGGGCACUGAGACACGGGCCCGACUCCUACGGGAGGCAGCAGUAAGGAAUAUUGGACAAUGGGCGAAAGCCUGAUCCAGCCAUGCCGCGUGAAGGAUUAAGGUCCUCUGGAUUGUAAACUUCUUUUAUUUGGGACGAAAAAAGGGAACUCUUUCCCACUUGACGGUACCAAGUGAAUAAGCACCGGCUAACUCCGUGCCAGCAGCCGCGGUAAUACGGAGGGUGCAAGCGUUAUCUGGAUUCACUGGGUUUAAAGGGUGCGUAGGCGGGUAUGUAAGUCAGUGGUGAAAUCUCGGAGCUUAACUCCGAAACUGCCAUUGAUACUAUAUAUCUUGAAUAUUGUGGAGGUUUGCGGAAUAUGUCAUGUAGCGGUGAAAUGCUUAGAUAUGACAUAGAACACCUAUUGCGAAGGCAGCAGGCUACACAUAUAUUGACGCUGAGGCACGAAAGCGUGGGGAUCAAACAGGAUUAGAUACCCUGGUAGUCCACGCCCUAAACGAUGGAUACUCGACAUACGCGAUACACUGUGUGUGUCUGAGCGAAAGCAUUAAGUAUCCCACCUGGGAAGUACGACCGCAAGGUUGAAACUCAAAGGAAUUGGCGGGGGUC